Molecule: transfer RNA, 86 nt
Filed under: Anaerolineae bacterium
Lineage: Bacteria; Bacillati; Chloroflexota; Anaerolineae
Description: tRNA-Leu
Rfam family: tRNA
About the family: Transfer RNA (tRNA) molecules are approximately 80 nucleotides in length.
Source: RNAcentral
GCCCUGGUGGCGGAAUUGGUAUACGCGGCAGGUUGAGGGCCUGUGCCCAUUCGGGCGUGGAGGUUCGAGUCCUCUCCAGGGCACCA